CGGGGCGUAGCGCAGCCUGGGAGCGCACUUGAAUGGGGUUCAAGGGGUCGGAGGUUCAAAUCCUCUCGCCCCGACCA
Molecule: transfer RNA, 77 nt
Filed under: bacterium
Lineage: Bacteria
Description: tRNA-Pro
Rfam family: tRNA
About the family: Transfer RNA (tRNA) molecules are approximately 80 nucleotides in length. Their secondary structure includes four short double-helical elements and three loops (D, anti-codon, and T loops). Further hydrogen bonds mediate the characteristic L-shaped molecular structure. tRNAs have two regions of fundamental functional importance: the anti-codon, which is responsible for specific mRNA codon recognition, and the 3' end, to which the tRNAs corresponding amino acid is attached (by aminoacyl-tRNA synthetases). tRNAs cope with the degeneracy of the genetic code in two manners: having more than one tRNA (with a specific anti-codon) for a particular amino acid; and 'wobble' base-pairing, i.e. permitting non-standard base-pairing at the 3rd anti-codon position.
Source: RNAcentral